CCUACGGGAGGCAGCAGUGGGGAAUAUUGCACAAUGGGGGAAACCCUGAUGUAGCGACGCCGCGUGAGUGAAGAAGUAUCUCGGUACGUAAAGCUCUAUCAGCAGGGAAGAAAAUGACGGUACCUGACUAAGCAGCCCCGGCUAACUACGUGCCAGCAGCCGCGGUAAUACGUAGGGGGCAAGCGUUAUCCGGAUUUACUGGGUGUAAAGGGAGCGUAGACAGCAGCGCAAGUCUGGAGUGAAAUCCCGGGGCUUAACCCCGGAACUGCUGUGGAAACUGUGCGGCUGGAGUGCAGGAGGGGUAAGCGGAAUUCCUAGUGUAGCGGUGAAAUGCGUAGAUAUUAGGAGGAACACCGGUGGCGAAGGCGGCUUACUGGACUGUAACUGACGUUGAGGCUCGAAAGCGUGAGGAGCAAACAGGAUUAGAUACCCGUGUAGUC
Molecule: ribosomal RNA, 440 nt
Filed under: uncultured bacterium
Lineage: Bacteria
Description: partial 16S ribosomal RNA
Rfam family: Bacterial small subunit ribosomal RNA
Source: RNAcentral